AAGAAAUUAUUCUAAUUUGUUGAGUAAAAAUUCACGCAACGAACCUAAUCUCUUGCUUUCCAGAGUUAUUGUUGAACAGUCUCGAUCGAGAUUCUGUCAGAUUGACUUUCCAUUCUCGAACCCUCGUUGAUUUAAGUACACUAGCAUAAUUCUGCCUAUGUUUUUUUCACAAGAUAAUGUCGAAACUACAGCAUACAAAAAUGACUAAGAAUGAACAAACAAGAGCAUGAUACUUUCUUCAAGGUUUGUUAUUGCCAGGCGUUUGUGUCUUUCGUCAGUAGGAAUUCUCCGGACUCGUUUUUCUUCAAAAGCUUCUCAAGCAUCACAUCCCAAUUAGGUCUUCCAUCAUAUGACGCCAAUUUAGAUUUUAUCUCAUUCUCAGAAGACUUGGCAUUGUCACCUUCUACGGAUUCUUCAUUCCUGGUUGAGCGUUCCUCUUCGGGGACAGUGGAAACAGGGAUUUUCAAACUAACGGCUCUUUCCAAGCAUCCUUGUGGUCUUUUUUUUGUAUUGUUCUCAUUCUACCGAGUUUUUGUACUUUGGGGGCAGUUGUUAUGGUCUCAUAAUUUUUCUCCCCAAGUAUCUGUAAGAAAGUAUUGAGUUUAAUUGGGGUCGAUUUUUCAGCAAAAUAUUCAUGAUAAAUUGGUUAUGGAUGACUUCAAUUGAGAACGAAAAACUAUAAAUUAUCCGUUUAUUUUUACUUCAAUUUUUUUAGAUGGAAUAUAUUUUUAUUUAGAUAAAUGGAGUCAAAUAUCUCAUGGCAAUUCUGUCAAUCUAAGUAGAAGAACGCUAAGUAGAAGAGAGCUGAUCAGACGGGCUUGAACCAGCUCGCCUACAUGACGAGUCCCCAUACACCCAUUUGGGGGUCAAAAAAAAAUUUUGUCCCAUCCACACCCAAAUAGGUGACUGCAGACGCACCACGUAAGCGAACCCGUAGUAAUACAACGGACUCAAUCCCGUCUGAUCAGCUCUCCUAAGUAGAAAUAACAUUAAAAAUGUGUACCUAAUUAUCCAUUAUACGCAUUAAACGUGUCAAAUUUUGAUUAUGCAAGUUUGAACCGGAUACAACCCAUUUAACAUUCGUGUUUAUAAAUCCAUCAUACUUGUGUUAACAUCAAAAAAUAACUAAUUCUAAUUAUUUAAUUUGUGUACUAUUCAAGUCAUGUUAUUGUGUGGUGUAAAAAAAAUUUAAAACUCGUAAUAACUUUAAUAUUUAAACUGAGGAAAUAACACCAUAAGUAAACCCUAAUUAGGGUUUUAAAAGAGAAAAUAUCAAAAAAUGUCAUUUUUUAAAAAUUUUAGAAAAAAAAAAUUCUGUUAUUGACCGCCUCAGGAGUAUAGAAUGACCAAAAAAAAAUAAUUUUUGAUACAUUUUUUACACUUUUCAAUAUACUUUCAUAUAUUUUUAUACAUUUUUUAUAUUUUCUUAUAUAAUUUUCACAAUUUUUUAUAUACUAUAGACCGUUCUUUGGACUAUUUUUAGCAUUUCCCAAAAAACAAUUUAUUCAGUCACUCCUAGGCGGAAAACAAAAACAAUUUAUCAACGAAUAUCUUUAAUUAUGACCGAAUUAUAUCUACAUUUUGUUUCCCAGCCCCCAGGUUAAACCUGUUUUUGUGUCAUUUCACAUACAAAAAUAAUUAUGUCAUCUUCAGAAAAAACCCAAAGAAAUACACAGAAAAUACACCUAAAAUGGUAGUAGAAAAUACUUUUUGGGGUUAAUUACAAUGGUUCUUAGAUUUUCAAACCAUCCUAUGCAAGUCGAAUUGGGUGGUUCUAUUUAGAAUUUUACUCCAUUUCUUCUUUUUACAAUACCAACCAGCCCUAACCCAUACUUUUUUUUUAUUAUAAUUAGACUAAUCCAUGUGACAUGCCACAGAUUUACAAUUAAAUAUGCGACGUAGCCUUUUGCCCGGAGCGGUAAAAUUUCGACAGGCCAGGUAAGGCCAGCUCUUCACCCUAACCCAUACUUCCUAAUUGGAAAAGUGCUCUCAGUCUAAGGCCAAAGUUUUCCACAUGAGAAAGCUGGGGGUAAGAACAGCCCUCUCAAAGAUUCAAGCCAAAAAUGAAGGAAACCAUACUUGUCAAGUGCCAAACAAUGCCUUCAUCUUCUCUCUAAAAGAUGAGAGAGAAAGAGAUUGAGAUUUCCAAAUCCCUCUCACUCCUAGAGAAAAGAGUCAUCAAACAACACCAAGCACUCGACAAGUAGAAUCAUUAACACCUCUUUUUUAGCUUGAAUCCAAGUGGAUCUGAUCCAAAACCCCUCAACUCUCUUUUCGGUGUGGUUAAAGCAAAAGAAUCAUCAUCGAGCACUCAACAAAAAUAUAUAAAUAUAUGUAAAGUGUAAAUCUUCAAAUAGAAAAAGAUAGAACAGAUCGGAAAGUGUAGAACCUACGAGAAAAAGCAGGAAUCCAUAGGGAAAUUGGAAUCCGCAUGUCCAGAGGCUCCAAUGUUUGGGAUUUGAUUUCGCAUCGAUUCGUAUUUCCUUUGCCAUUCGUUUAACAGAGGAAAUCAUAAUAGAUGCCCAUUGUUUGUUGAUUGAAAUCGAGAAUUUGAGAGAGAGAGAGAGAGAGAGAGAGAGAGAGAGAGAUUGUUGGUUGGUUGGUUGGUUGCAUCGAGAUUUUCGGAGAGAGAGGCUGAGAGCGGAGGCCUGACGGCGAAGGCGAGGGCCAAAGCGAAUUUAUAUAGUGAUGAUGAUAGGGUUUGGGUGAAAUCUAAU
This 2717-nucleotide long non-coding RNA is filed under the name Actinidia chinensis (golden kiwifruit). RNAcentral describes it as "long non-coding RNA (ACHI_LNC009163)". The record is from RNAcentral. Lineage: Eukaryota; Viridiplantae; Streptophyta; Magnoliopsida; Ericales; Actinidiaceae.